RNAcentral lists this transfer RNA (83 nucleotides) under Canis lupus familiaris (dog). It matches the Rfam family "tRNA". From Rfam's summary of the family: Transfer RNA (tRNA) molecules are approximately 80 nucleotides in length. The record is from Rfam by way of RNAcentral. Lineage: Eukaryota; Metazoa; Chordata; Mammalia; Carnivora; Canidae. RNAcentral also lists the same sequence under 1 other name.
GCCUGGGUGGCUCAGUGGUUGAGCUUCUGCCUUUGGCUCAGGUUGUGAUCCUGGAGUCCUGGGAUCAAGUCCCACCUCAGGCU